AUUGAACGCUGGCGGAAUGCUUUACACAUGCAAGUCAAACGGCAGCACGGACUUCGGUCUGGUGGCGAGUGGCGAACGGGUGAGUAAUGUAUCGGAACGUGCCCAGUCGUGGGGGAUAACGUAGUGAAAAUUACGCUAAUACCGCAUACGAUCUAUGGAUGAAAGCGGGGGUUCGCAAGACCUCGCGCGAUUGGAGCGGCCGAUAUCAGAUUAGGUAGUUGGUGGGGUAAAGGCCCACCAAGCCAACGAUCUGUAGCUGGUCUGAGAGGACGACCAGCCACACUGGAACUGAGACACGGUCCAGACUCCUACGGGAGGCAGCAGUGGGGAAUUUUGGACAAUGGGCGAAAGCCUGAUCCAGCCAUUCCGCGUGCAGGAUGAAGGCCCUCGGGUUGUAAACUGCUUUUGUACAGAACGAAAAGGUUUCUACUAAUACUAGGAGCUCAUGACGGUACUGUAAGAAUAAGCACCGGCUAACUACGUGCCAGCAGCCGCCUUAA
RNAcentral lists this ribosomal RNA (500 nucleotides) under uncultured bacterium. RNAcentral's name for it is "partial 16S ribosomal RNA". It matches the Rfam family "Bacterial small subunit ribosomal RNA", at positions 30 to 523 of the family's 1533-position model. The record is from RNAcentral.